AUAAAAUACAUCUCUUAGGGGGCAUAAUUUUGACCAGAGUAGAUGACAAGCCCGCCAAGAGAACAGCUGAGACGAUGAUAUCGCUGACGACAGGUUAAAAGUCAUGGCAUCACACAAUAGACCAAAAGCAAACAGCAUUAAAUAAAACUGGCUGAUUAUUUUCCAGAUCCUACAGUUCAAACACCAUAAAUACAAGAUUUUUCUAGGUAGGCUGAGCAUUGAGUCACAGUCACUACAUCGAACAAGAGAGCGGAUGGAAGAGCUUCGACCCCAAACUCUAGUACGUGUAACUUUUGCAUGCCAUUUCUUAGGAAAGCAGCUUCUUAUGUUUUCCAGGUUUUCAUAGAAUUUACAAGGUUGCUAAGCCUGCAAAAAU
Molecule: long non-coding RNA, 376 nt
Filed under: Nicotiana benthamiana
Lineage: Eukaryota; Viridiplantae; Streptophyta; Magnoliopsida; Solanales; Solanaceae
Description: long non-coding RNA (NBEN_LNC007926)
Source: RNAcentral